AAUUAUAUAGAACUUCCCUUUGCUCUCUUUGGCUCAUUUGACGAAUAUUCAUCUUGGUAAACUUUGUAGAUUACAAAAAUCUACAUAUUGUUGCAACAUAAUCUCCUAUUACUGGUACAAAACUACAUAAAUAUAUUGCAUUAGUUGCUCUAUUUACCUUCUGUCUGUGCUAACAAAAUAUAUAAUAUAGUAGUCAAUAGUUUGAACAACGGUUUGAAAUGUUUUUACAUAGUUGAGAAAAUCAAGGCUUUAAUAUAUGUCCCUUAAGAAACUGGAAGAAAGAACACUACAUCCUUCCGUUAAAGUUUGAUUGUUCUGAUGUAGAUUGGAACCAAUUCCUGAAGCAUAACAAAAAAUUUAGUGUCAAUGCUAGCAACAAAUUCAUAAAUCUAAAGGUACACACAAAUUAUGAUCAUGCAGAAGUGAUAUUGUUGUGCCCCUAACAAACCAAGAACAAACUGAAGCAACAUCAAUAAUCGUGAAUUAAAUUUGAUUCCAGCAAGCACAAAGAGGUGCAGAGCACUGAUACUUGAUCACACCUUUUUACUCUUUGUUGAAUAUUAUUCUCUCUCUCUCUAGCAAUUUCAUCAUGGAGAUUAAUGUCAUUAUGAAUCCAUGUCCUCCAGCUCCAGCUCUUGCUUAUUAAAAAAAUAUAGCAGAGUUCCUACGGGGGAAGGGAGACAAUGUAAGCCGAUCAGAAACAAUCCAGCAGGGCAUACCUAGACAUUUAUAAACUAUUGUCUUAGCUGCAACUCCUGUGUGUAGCCACUCCAGUAGCAUACAUUUGUCAAUUAUAAACAGACUGAAAAAGUGGAAAUAUUAAUCUAGAAAAAGAUAAUUCACCAAUCGGUAAGAAAUAUAAAACACCACUCCAUGUUUUACUUUUCAAUUUGGUUGUUUGGCUUCGGAGUGUUGAUCGUAGCAGAAACAAAUGAUCGGAUCAAAGUCUAUAUGUUGAAGUAAUAUGCUGCUUCUAAAACUCGUGAUUUGGAAAUAUUUAGAACUUCUGUUAUCUAUGGAUCAUCUUAACGAAUGUCCAUCUUGGCUACCUUUUUAGAAUACAAAAAUCUGCACAAUAAUGCAUAAGAAACUACUAUUAAUUUUUUUACUCUUCUUGCUGUUAUGAAUAGAUACUACAAC
This 1140-nucleotide long non-coding RNA is filed under the name Triticum aestivum (bread wheat). RNAcentral's name for it is "long non-coding RNA (TAES_LNC003984)". The record is from RNAcentral. Lineage: Eukaryota; Viridiplantae; Streptophyta; Magnoliopsida; Poales; Poaceae.